This 115-nucleotide ribosomal RNA is filed under the name Microcebus murinus (gray mouse lemur). The record is from RNAcentral. Lineage: Eukaryota; Metazoa; Chordata; Mammalia; Primates; Cheirogaleidae.
GUCUACGGCCAUACCACCCCGAACACACCCAAUCUCGUCUGAUCUUGGAAGCUAAGCAGGGUUGGGCCUGGUUAGUACUUGGAAGGGAGAAUGGCUAAAUUUUUUUUCAAAGACU